This 362-nucleotide ribosomal RNA is filed under the name uncultured bacterium. RNAcentral's name for it is "bacterial SSU rRNA". It matches the Rfam family "Bacterial small subunit ribosomal RNA", at positions 1142 to 1503 of the family's 1533-position model. The record is from RNAcentral.
AAGGAGACUGCCGGUGACAAACCGGAGGAAGGUGGGGAUGACGUCAAGUCAUCAUGGCCCUUACGGCCAGGGCUACACACGUGCUACAAUGGUCGGUACAAAGGGUUGCCAAGCCGCGAGGUGGAGCUAAUCCCAUAAAACCGAUCGUAGUCCGGAUCGCAGUCUGCAACUCGACUGCGUGAAGUCGGAAUCGCUAGUAAUCGUGAAUCAGAAUGUCACGGUGAAUACGUUCCCGGGCCUUGUACACACCGCCCGUCACACCAUGGGAGUGGGUUGCUCCAGAAGUAGCUAGUCUAACCGCAAGGGGGACGGUUACCACGGAGUGAUUCAUGACUGGGGUGAAGUCGUAACAAGGUAGCCGU